AUUGAACGAUGGCGGCAGGCCUAACACAUGCAAGUCGAGCGAACGGCGGACGGGUGAGUAAUGUCUGGGAAACUGCCUGAUGGAGGGGGAUAACUACUGGAAACGGUAGCUAAUACCGCAUACCAUCAGAUGUGCCCAGAUGGGAUUAGCUAGUAGGUGGGGUAACGGCUAACCUAGGAGACGAUCCCUAGCUGGUCUGAGAGGAUGACCAGACACACUGGAACUGAGACACGGGCCAGACUCCUACGGGAGGCAGCAGUGGGUAAUAUUGCACAAUGGGCGCAAGCCUGAUGCAGCCAGGCCGCGUGUGUGAAGAAGGCCGGCGGGUUGUAAAGCACUUUCAGCGGGGAGGCGUUACACGCAGAAGAAGCACCGGCUAACUCCGUGCCAGCAGCCGCGGUAAUAC
Molecule: ribosomal RNA, 406 nt
Filed under: uncultured bacterium
Lineage: Bacteria
Description: partial 16S ribosomal RNA
Rfam family: Bacterial small subunit ribosomal RNA
Source: RNAcentral